This 3865-nucleotide long non-coding RNA is filed under the name Theobroma cacao (cacao). Its description in RNAcentral is "long non-coding RNA (TCAC_LNC000630)". Lineage: Eukaryota; Viridiplantae; Streptophyta; Magnoliopsida; Malvales; Malvaceae. The record is from RNAcentral.
CUGGUUGGAACAUCCCCUCCUCAUCAAGGCAUCUCUCUGGUCUGAACUCCUCUGCAUCAUCACCCCAAAUGAAUUUCAUUCUGCCCAUUGCAUAAGGUUCAUAACAAACCAUAUCUCCUUUCCUCACACUGAACCCAUCUGGAAGAGUUUCAUCAGACAAGCAUAUCUUUGCAUCCUGCAAUCAAAGUGAAGAGGUAGUGAGAACCAAAGAAAACCCCAGAACAUAGCAAGGAAGCUAAUUUCUAGCCUUCCCGAUAUGCAUUGAAUGGAUAUCAGUUUAUCGAUGCAUGUUCUUUGAUGUGCAUUAACAAGUUCAGUUGGAGGAUUCAAGAUUCAAGGCAACUUUGCUUACAACUGGAACAGCGGGGUAGAGCCUUAAUGUUUCAGUUAAGGCUGCAUGGAGAUAGUGCAUUUUUCCUAGGGCUUCUUCGCUCAAGAUAGCAGCAAAUUCAGCAAAAUCUUUAACCUCCUUCGUGUCAGUUGCUUCCUUCACUUCUUGUGCAACCUUUUCUUGAACAUCAGGAUGCUUGCAGAGCAUGUAAAUAAACCACGACAGAGUAGCUGUCGUUGUGUCUUUCCCAGCAAUUAUGAAGUUAAGGAUUAUAUCUCGCAAGUAUGUUGGAUCAGUGUCACUCACUUGUAGAAAUCUGGAUAAAAUGUCUUCCUUUUUCAUCUGCAUAAUCUGUAGAAAAUAAUAAUUUCAAUAUUCUACUUCAACAGGUAAUAUAAGCUGUUAACUAUAAGUAGCUCUACUGUUCUAGUUCACUCACUGAAGCUUCAUCCUUUGAGUUGCGUAUUGGCUCAAUCUUGUUGUGGAUCAGCUUAUACACAAAAUUAUCAACCACUUCUAUACUUUUCUUCAGUGUGGCCUCUGAUCCAAUAUUUAGAAAUCUUUUGAUCUUCUAGAAGAUAUCAACAUAUCGGAAGAGGAUUGCUGCACUUGAAUCAUCAAAAGCAGCUGUAAACUGUUUGCCUUCUAAAUUUGAUCCACACAUGCUGUCUAGUUCGACUCCAAAUGCAACUUUGAAUAGUGAAUCUAAAGUCGAUUUCAUAAACAAGUCCUGCACAAUAUAUCGUUAUAACAGAUCCAUUUUAUAUAUCACUCUGCAUUGAUCUUGCCAUUAGGUGAACUUACCUGUAUAUCCAUUAUCUCAUUGGAAUUUGCUGCUUCAGACACUAUAGUUGCAAGUUUUGCCGCAUUUUCCCGAAAGACUACACUGCUGAAAUCUCUCAAGACCUUGGUUGAGAAUUCAUAGCUUGAUACUUUCCUCUGUUGACGCCACUUAUCACCAUCGACAGUGAAAAUCCCAUCACCUAGUAAACCCUUUAGCAAGCUGUAAUUGUACUCACCCUGCACAGAAAAUUAAACAGUUUGGAAAACCAAAACAACUCCACCAUUCUGCCUUUUGGGUGGCCAUAUAAUUAUCAAAAGCCCUCUCAUUCCAACUAAUCACUCUGCGGCAUAUUAGCAUCUACAAUUGACUUACUUGUGGCGAGAUUGAGACCCUUUUUCUUAAUCUAAUUACGGGUGUUUCUGUCUAAGCUACUUACACUAACCAAUCACCGGGAGAGUUCAGAAUUUUCUAGACCAACAAAUUAUUUGUGACUUUGAGGUGUGAAACGAGAGUCGGCACCAUACCUUGCCAUAUUUCUGGAAAUUUGUUUUUAGAAUAUACUCAACAUUGUCUGGUUCCGAGGUAUAAAUCUCAUUCCUGAAAGGGCUAAGCAGCCUGUAGUUCCUGUACUUCCCAGCAAGAUCAGUCAUAUAGUGAUGCAAUCUUCUGAAGUUGAGGAGCUGGUUAAAAACCGUUCCGCCAACGGGAUGGUACUUGGCCUUAUUUUUCCUCUGCCUUUCUCUUAGUUUUGCUGUGAGGAACUGGACGGUGAAAAGGGUCAGGAUUAGACUUAGAACCAAAGCUACCAAGGGAACUGGGUUAGACAGAUCCAUGAAGAUGGAGGUACGUUUGGGAAAGCUGGUCUAUCAAUGUUAGGUGAAGGCUGUAUUAAACUAGAGAAGUCGUUCUGAAAUACUAAUAAUAUCAACGGAGAGAAGUCCUUCUGCCAAGUUAUUCCUCUCAACCAAACGUGUCACAACCUAAUUGGACUACAUUCGGACAAGCCCGAAACGUGGUUCUCUCGAAUUUCACAAGGUGAAAUUUUUGAAAUUGGCAAAAAAUUACUAAUAAAUUUCACCACAACCAGAUAACAAAACAAAGGGUCAUACUUAUUUUUUCCUUAGUUAUGAUGGUAAAGGACAUACAUAUCUGUUCUAUUCGGUUAUUUUGUAGUUAAGUAAAGAGAAUGAUUUUUUAAUUUAAUUUUUAAAUAAAAAUACGUGUAUUUAUCAUGUUAAGUUUAAUAUUCAGAUGAAAAAUUAAUUAGAAUUUUAUUUCAAAGCAUAUGAUACAAUUAAGUAACUUAAGUACAAAGAUGAUUAAGCUUAGCAAACAAGGAAAUGUCAUAUUUCUCAAUCCGAGAGAUAAGAAGCACAGAGCCAAAGGCCCUGCAAAAAGGCAGGGGAGAACUGAAUUGUUGUUUCCUAAAACUUUGCAUUAAGAUCAACAUGACUUUCUAGUCAUUAAAUAUUCUGCUAGAUUUCGAACUUGCAAAUAUGGUCUGUUUUAAUGAAAUUGCAGAAUGUUGUCUCAGGUCUCAACAACUUUGAUUUCACUUCUUUUUCAAGGAAAAAAAAAUGGUUUCACUUAGUUUGCAGAAGUGUCCUGAACUCAAUUUUCAGACAAAAGUAUGGUUCGAGACUCCUUGGUGAGUGAAAGUAAUUCUUCAUCAUAUUUAUUCCUUUAUUUUUCUUUUUGGAUAUCAUUGUAUUUAUUCUUGUGCAAGGACAAGUACAUGCAUACUCAAACCUUGCAAUUGCCCAGCAUACAGAACUGAGCCAACAGAUGAAACCCGUGGUCAAAUAGGCAAGAAAGACUAAGUCUGACAUCUGGGAAAUGCGCGGACAUGAAGGCCCCCAUCUACGUGAAGAGUGAUCAUCGUCCUGUAGGUGACAGAUUUAUUCUCAUCACUCAGUUUGAACACAAAGUAGUGCACCAGAACAGCCGAGAAGAUCUUCAUCUGCCUAUAAGCAAAUUCCUUGCCGAAACAAAUUCGAGGGCCUGCCUGUAAACCAUUAGAAAAUAAAGUUCAGCAUGUUCACAUCUUUAGCCGGUGAAAUCACACUUGUGAAACAAUAUGAGAAGUUUGAACUUUCGGAAAAAGACCCAGAACCAAAAAUCAAAUGCUGUUAUACUGCUUUUUUAGCCUCUUUUUCUAUUUGAGGUUUUAUUUUACACCAAGUGCCAAUCAGAAUAAUAAUGCUUUGGCCGAUCUGGAAACGAAGCGUACAAGAACUUCUAAUUUGUAGUAUGUUCUGCACACCUGGAAUGCUGUAAACUUAAAAUGGCUUUCUGGUUGGAACAUCCCAUCCUCAUCAAGCCAUCUCUCUGGUCUGAACUCCUCUGCAUCAUCACCCCAUAUGAAUUUCAUUCUGCCCAUUGCAUAAGGUUGAUAACAAACCAUAUCUCCUUUCCUCACACUGAACCCAUCUGGAAGAGUAUCAUCAGAAAAGCAUAUCUUUGCAUCCUGCAAUCAAAGUGAAGAGGUAGUGAGAUCCAAAGAAAACCCCAGAACAUAGAAAGGAAGCUAAUUUCUAGCCUUCCCGAUACGCAUUGAAUGGAUAUCAGUUUAUAGAUGCAUGUUCUUUGAUGUGCAUUAACAAGUUCAGUUGGAGGAUUCAAGAUUCAAGGAAACUUUGCUUACAACUGGAACAGCGGGGUAGAGCCUUAAUGUUUCAGUUAAGGCUGCAUGGAGAUAGUGCAUUUUUCCUAGAGCUUCUUCGCUCAAGAUAGCAGCAAAUUCAGCAAAA